CUGCAUUUCUGUUUUCCAAACCUUACAUUUCCAAAAAAAAACCCACCCUUUUUGUCACAAGACCAAAGGUGAUGUGUGGUCACCAAGUCACUCAGCAGGUUGCCAAGCCACAGGCAGCCAUGAAAAGGAAAUGAAUCUCCAAGUACAAUCAAAAUAGAGAAGCAGACGGAUGUGCCCCGAACACAUCCUGUUUUCAGAUCGCCAUCCUGUGCGUCUCUCCUGCCACAGAAACCAAUACUUCAUGUAACCCGUGAAUUUGAAGCCUUGUCCCAGCAGCACAGCUCCCUGCAGGAUGAAUGCUGGAAAGGGAGCGUUCAGGGGAGAGACUCUGAACCGAUCAGCCCAGUUCCUCUCUUCUGCCCGAUAAACCACACUCAUUUCAAGAAGGCUGGGAGGCAGGAGGAGCCUCGAGGCCACCAGCUGGCUGUGCAGUGCUGGGUGAUGGCUGCGAUGGAGAAGAGGAAAGCUAACAGAACGGCCCGAAGCACCACAGCGCGUGGGUCUGUUCACAGAGUAACAUCAGGCUGGGGCAGGGAAGGCGGCGUUUGGGAACCAGUGUGCAACGGCAGCACGGCAGCUUUGAGAUACACCUCUGAAAUCUGCAGCUUCACCCGAGCACACAGCAAAUGCUUCGAACAACCUCUACUAAACGCCUCAGCCGCCCGCACAAGAGAUGUGGCGGCAGAGGUGGCGAAGGCCUUCCGGCUUCGUAGGCGCUAUUUCCGCCCUUUGGCGGGCACUACGCAACUACGCC
Molecule: long non-coding RNA, 754 nt
Organism: Gallus gallus (chicken)
Lineage: Eukaryota; Metazoa; Chordata; Aves; Galliformes; Phasianidae
Source: Ensembl